RNAcentral lists this ribosomal RNA (354 nucleotides) under uncultured bacterium. RNAcentral's name for it is "partial 16S ribosomal RNA". It matches the Rfam family "Bacterial small subunit ribosomal RNA", at positions 338 to 710 of the family's 1533-position model. The record is from RNAcentral.
CCUACGGGAGGCAGCAGUGGGGAAUAUUGCACAAUGGGCGAAAGCCUGAUGCAGCAACGCCGCGUGAGCGAUGAAGGCCUUCGGGUCGUAAAGCUCUGUCCUCAAGGAAGAUAAUGACGGUACUUGAGGAGGAAGCCCCGGCUAACUACGUACCAGCAGCCGCGGUAAUACGUAGGGGGCUAGGGUUAGCCGGAAUUACUGGGGUGAAAGGGUGCGUAGGUGGUUUUUUAAGUAAGAGGUGAAUGGCUACGGCUCAACCGUAGUAAGCCUGUGAAACUGGGUAACUUGAGUGCAGGAGAGGAGAGUAGAAUUCCUAGUGUAGCGGUGAAAUGCGUAGAUAUUAGGAGGAACACC